CCUACGGGAGGCAGCAGUGAGGAAUAUUGGUCAAUGGGCGCGAGCCUGAACCAGCCAAGUCGCGUGAGGGAUGAAGGUUCUAUGGAUCGUAAACCUCUUUUAUAAGGGAAUAAAGUGUGGGACGUGUCCUAUUUUGUCUGUACCUUAUGAAUAAGGAUCGGCUAACUCCGUGCCAGCAGCCGCGGUAAUACGGAGGAUCCGAGCGUUAUCCGGAUUUAUUGGGUUUAAAGGGUGCGUAGGCGGCCUUUUAAGUCAGCGGUGAAAGUCUGUGGCUUAACCAUAGAAUUGCCGUUGAAACUGUGGGGCUUGAGUAUGUUUGAGGCAGGCGGAAUGCGUUGUGUAGCGGUGAAAUGCUUAGAUAUCACGCAGAACCCCGAUUGCGAAGGCAGCCUGCCAAGCCAUGACUGACGCUGAUGCACGAGAGCGUGGGGAGCAAACAGGAUUAGAUACCCGGGUAGUC
RNAcentral lists this ribosomal RNA (460 nucleotides) under uncultured bacterium. RNAcentral's name for it is "partial 16S ribosomal RNA". It matches the Rfam family "Bacterial small subunit ribosomal RNA", at positions 338 to 795 of the family's 1533-position model. The record is from RNAcentral.